Molecule: ribosomal RNA, 448 nt
Filed under: uncultured bacterium
Lineage: Bacteria
Description: bacterial SSU rRNA
Rfam family: Bacterial small subunit ribosomal RNA
Source: RNAcentral
UCGGGAAUUUUGGGCAAUGGGCGAAAGCCUGACCCAGCAACGCCGCGUGAAGGAUGAAGUAUUUCGGUAUGUAAACUUCGAAAGAAUAGGAAGAAUAAAUGACGGUACUAUUUAUAAGGUCCGGCUAACUACGUGCCAGCAGCCGCGGUAAUACGUAGGGACCAAGCGUUGUUCGGAUUUACUGGGCGUAAAGGGCGCGUAGGCGGCAAUUCAAGUCAUCUGUGAAAUCUCCGGGCUUAACUCGGAACGGUCAGAUGAUACUGCUUUGCUAGAGUGCAGAAGGGGCAAUCGGAAUUCUUGGUGUAGCGGUGAAAUGCGUAGAUAUCAAGAGGAACACCUGAGGUGAAGACGGGUUGCUGGGCUGACACUGACGCUGAGGCGCGAAAGCCAGGGGAGCAAACGGGAUUAGGAUACCCUCGUAGUCCCUGAGCGGGCUGGCAAGGCGCAU